This 253-nucleotide ribosomal RNA is filed under the name uncultured bacterium. RNAcentral describes it as "partial 16S ribosomal RNA". It matches the Rfam family "Bacterial small subunit ribosomal RNA", at positions 524 to 776 of the family's 1533-position model. The record is from RNAcentral.
UACGUAGGGACCGAGCGUUGUCCGGAUUCAUUGGGCGUAAAGAGCUCGUAGGCGGCCACUCGAGUCGAAUGUGAAAUCUCGAGGCUUAACCUCGAGCCUGCAUUCGAUACUGGGUGGCUAGAGUCUGGUAGGGGGGUCUGGAAUUCCUGGUGUAGCGGUGGAAUGCGCAGAUAUCAGGAAGAACACCGAUGGCGAAGGCGGGUCUCUGGGACGGUACUGACGCUGAGGAGCGAAAGCGUGGGGAGCGAACAGG